Non-coding RNA from Schistosoma mattheei, 45 nucleotides. The record is from Rfam. NCBI's taxonomy places the organism in Eukaryota, Metazoa, Platyhelminthes, Trematoda, Strigeidida, Schistosomatidae.
AUUUAGCUGACAAGUCCCAAAUAAGACGAAAAGCGUGUUCUGAAU